RNAcentral lists this long non-coding RNA (1942 nucleotides) under Calidris pugnax (ruff). Its description in RNAcentral is "lncRNA (ENSCPUG00000012417.1)". The record is from RNAcentral. Lineage: Eukaryota; Metazoa; Chordata; Aves; Charadriiformes; Scolopacidae.
AUGAUGGUGGAAUUGCAACAAGAAAGUGAAGCAGCUGCUGAAUUACUAAAAGUUCAUUUGCAGGACCAAGAUUGGGGAAAUAAUUCAAAGAAAAUACAGGGCCCUGGUGCUACUCUACAAUUUUUGGGAAUAGUUUGGCAUGGACAAAUCAGAAAAAUACCAAAUCAGGUACAGCAAGCAAAGCAGCCAUUUCCUGUACCAAUCACAGUAAAACAGUUACAGACCUUUGGAGGACUUUUAGGGGACUGGAGAACUUUUACACCACAUUUGGUCAUAUUAAUAUGCCUUUGGCAGAAAUUAACUAGGAAGAAAGUUGUCUGGCAGGGGACCAAGCAACAACAAGAAGCUUUUGAUGCCUGCAAAGAUGCUUUGAUUGAGCAUGCACAAUUACACACUCCUAAGCAAAGAUAUUCAUUUGAAUUAGUAACAAUUUCAGAUGAUACAGUCUCAGGAUUGUGGCAGAUGACAGGGAUGAAAAAUCAGAAAGAACCUAUAGGGUUUUGGUCCAAGGCAUUACAAGGUUCUGCUAUACAUCAUAACCCAACUUCUCCUCUUGUUUUACAUCCUUUGUUAAUAUCAAAUUCUCAAGUUUUUGUAUUUCAGGUGUCUUUGGUGAAUACCUGUGCCUCAUCUAGAGGAGAUAGCAUUGGAAUGCUGUUAUUGGUGUUGCAAACCCAACAUCUAAUUGAAGUUCACUCUGAAAAGGCACAAGCCAUAGCUCUACAAUCCGUGUGGGCAAUUACCCCACAUCAGGUUAUCAAACCCAAAGUCACAGUAGCUGAAGGAGCUGAAGCAGCACACACCAGAAACGUUGCUUCAACUUUGAAAACACGUUGCUUCAAUGGAACUGAUGGAACAGCCAGCCCAGAGCACAACAUUCAACAUUCUCCAGGACUGAAUGUAUCAAAUGGAACAACCUUCUGGUGGUGCCCAGCUGGUUGAGGGCACCUAGAUAGGAGGAACAGAACACCUGAUUCAGAGCAUUACUGUAAAGAUGCGUCUAUUCUUUUUUCUAUAUAUGUUUAUUGCAUGCCUCUGUGAGCUAGUUUGUAUUGUAACCUGCAAGCCUAAAUGAAUGUCUCCAGUUUUGUAAACCCCAGCAAAAGUCGUCUCUUGAGCAAGGGGGUGGAAUACAAGCUCAUGCCCUGGAUACAUCUCUGCAAAAUCAACGUGUAAACACUCAGAUUUGGUUAGCCUCUACUGCAACUAACUUGUCUGCAUUUAAUACUAAGGGAACAUUAACAGCUGCAGAUCUGUAGAAAGCUUGUUUCAGUGGCGCGUUGACCCCAGCAUGUGUGAUGUAGAGUUAUGCUGUGUUAAGUGUCUUUGAUAUUAAUGUCUCAUUGCUGGUUUUUUUUUUUCUGAGUAGGUAACGGCCAUGUGCCAAUGAACAUUACAUACUGACUGACAGUCAACGUUUUCCUCCCCAGACACCAGAAACGUUGCUUCAACUUUGAAAACACGUUGCUUCAAUGGAACUGAUGGAACAGCCAGCCCAGAGCACAACAUUCAACAUUCUCCAGGACUGAAUGUAUCAAAUGGAACAACCUUCUGGUGGUGCCCAGCUGGUUGAGGGCACCUAGAUAGGAGGAACAGAACACCUGAUUCAGAGCAUUACUGUAAAGAUGCGUCUAUUCUUUUUUCUAUAUAUGUUUAUUGCAUGCCUCUGUGAGCUAGUUUGUAUUGUAACCUGCAAGCCUAAAUGAAUGUCUCCAGUUUUGUAAACCCCAGCAAAAGUCGUCUCUUGAGCAAGGGGGUGGAAUGUGGGAAACUAAUGGAAGAUUGGCGAGGAGGACUGUAAAUACGCUCAAGUGACUUGUAUGUGGGGUGCUGGAAAACACAGCUAUCACACUAAUUGUUGCUUAGUCUUGUGUGCUCAACAAGUAGAACAUCUGCACUUAGAUAACAUAGGCCUGGGAUGGACUCAGGGGCACCUUCUCAA